GAUGAAGAACGUAGCGAAAUGCGAUAAGUAGUGUGAAUUGCAGAAUUCAGUGAAUCAUCGAAUCUUUGAACGCACAUUGCGCCCCUUGGUAUUCCAUGGGGCAUGCCUGUUCGAGCGUCAUUUGUACCUUCAAGCUUUGCUUGGUGUUGGAUGUUUGUCUCGCCUUUGCGUGUAGACUCGCCUUAAAAUAAUUGGCAGCCGGCGUAUUGAUUUCGGAGCGCAGUACAUCUCGCGCUUUGCACUCAUAACGACAGCGUCCAAAAGUACAUUUUACACUCUUGACCUCGGAUCAGGUAGGGAUACCCGCUGAACUUAAGCAUAUCAAUAAGCGGAGGA
Molecule: unclassified non-coding RNA, 336 nt
Filed under: soil metagenome
Description: partial contains 5.8S ribosomal RNA, internal transcribed spacer 2, and large subunit ribosomal RNA
Rfam family: 5.8S ribosomal RNA (bases 1-120)
Source: RNAcentral